This 864-nucleotide ribosomal RNA is filed under the name Triticum aestivum (bread wheat). RNAcentral describes it as "partial small subunit ribosomal RNA". The record is from RNAcentral. Lineage: Eukaryota; Viridiplantae; Streptophyta; Magnoliopsida; Poales; Poaceae.
AUGGACAAGAAGUCGGACGAUCGGCCGGCGACGGCGAGGAGGGACGCCAAGGAGGAGCGGAUGGGCAGGGCGGGCGUGCUGCUCAUCGUGUGCCUCUGCACGCUGCCGUUCCUGGUCUUCCUCUUCGGCGGCCGGGCGGGCGCGCCGGCCGUGUCACGUGUGGCACGACGCCGCCAAGCUCACCGCCACGGCUGGAUCAGGGUUAGCGAACGUCUCUCGUCCAAGCGCCGGCGGCGGCGCAGACGAGCUCUUCGGCGGCCUGCUCGCGCCGGGCUCCGACCGACGCGCGUGCCUGAGCCGGUACCGGCCAGUCCCCGCAUUACUACAAGCACUCUCCGUACGCACCCUCGCCGCACCUCCUGCAGAAGCUGCGCGACUACGAAGCGCGGCACAGGAAGUGCGGCCCCGGCACGCCGCCGUACGCCAGGUCCGUCGAUCACCUCCUCUCCGGCGGCGGCAGCAGCACGGAGGACGAUGAGUGCAACUACGUCGUGUGGAUCCCCUAUAACGGCCUCGGCAACCGGAUGCUGUCGCUGCUCAGCACAUUCCUCUACGCGCUCCUCACCGGUCGCGUCCUCCUCGUGCACCCCACCGACGACUUCACCGACCUCUUUUGCGAGCCGUUCCCCGGCGGGACCUGGGCGCUCCCGCCGGACUUCCCCGUGGCAGACAUGUCCCGGCUCGGGGCGCGCUCCAACGAGUCAUACGGGAACCUCCUCGACAGCAAGAAGAUCUCCAACGACCCGACCAAGGCGACAGCGCGGUCGGUGCCACCGUAUGUGUACCUGCACCUGGCGCACGACCUCCGGCGCUCGGACCGGCUCUUCUACUGCAACGAUGACCAGCUGGUGCUGGCCAAGGUGA